This 252-nucleotide ribosomal RNA is filed under the name uncultured bacterium. RNAcentral describes it as "partial 16S ribosomal RNA". It matches the Rfam family "Bacterial small subunit ribosomal RNA", at positions 525 to 776 of the family's 1533-position model. The record is from RNAcentral.
ACGGAGGGUGCGAGCGUUAAUCGGAAUUACUGGGCGUAAAGCGCACGCAGGCGGCUAUAUAAGCCAGAUGUGAAAGCCCCGGGCUUAACCUGGGAGAGUCAUUUGGAACUGUAUAGCUAGAGUUUUGGAGAGGAGAGUGGAAUUCCAGGUGUAGCGGUGAAAUGCGUAGAUAUCUGGAGGAACAUCAGUGGCGAAGGCGGCUCUCUGGCCAAAAACUGACGCUCAUGUGCGAAAGCGUGGGUAGCGAACAGG